UGAGGAAUAUUGGUCAAUGGGCGGGAGCCUGAACCAGCCAAGCCGCGUGAGGGAUGAAGGCCCUAUGGGUCGUAAACCUCUUUUGUCAGGGAACAAAAGCGAGUAUGUAUACUAGUCUGAGUGUACCUGAAGAAAAAGCAUCGGCUAACUCCGUGCCAGCAGCCGCGGUAAUACGGAGGAUGCGAGCGUUAUCCGGAUUUAUUGGGUUUAAAGGGUGCGUAAGCGGCGGUGCAAGUCAGCGGUAAAAGCCCGGGGCUCAACCCCGGCGAGCCGUUGAAACUGCAGUGCUAGAGAAGGCGAGAGGUACGCGGAAUGCGCAGUGUAGCGGUGAAAUGCUUAGAUAUUGCGCAGAACUCCGAUUGCGAAGGCAGCGUACUGGCGCCUGACUGACGCUGAGGCACGAAAGCGUGGGGAUCGAACAGGAUUAGAUACC
This 433-nucleotide ribosomal RNA is filed under the name uncultured bacterium. Its description in RNAcentral is "bacterial SSU rRNA". It matches the Rfam family "Bacterial small subunit ribosomal RNA", at positions 355 to 786 of the family's 1533-position model. The record is from RNAcentral.